Molecule: small nucleolar RNA, 110 nt
Organism: Cricetulus griseus (Chinese hamster)
Lineage: Eukaryota; Metazoa; Chordata; Mammalia; Rodentia; Cricetidae
Product: small nucleolar RNA SNORD89
Source: Ensembl
UCUGGAGAAAUAAUGGCAAUAAAAAGCUGAAUUUCAUUGUCUCCAACAGUUAUUUGUAUUUUGCCUGAUGACAAAAAUCUCCUGAAGGGAGCCACUGCUGUGACCCCAGU